AAUGAACGCUGGCGGCGUGCUUAACACAUGCAAGUCGAACGAGGAAGGGAUUGCUUGCAAUCCUGAGUAGAGUGGCGCACGGGUGAGUAACACGUAGAUAAUCUACCUCCAAGCCUGGGAUAACUAUUCGAAAGGAUAGCUAAUACCGGAUGAAGUAUGUUGGCAUAAGUUGAUAUAUGAAAGAUUGCCUCUUCUUGAAAGCAAUUGUUUGGAGAUGAGUCUGCGGACCAUUAGUUUGUUGGUGGGGUAAAGGCCUACCAAGACUGCGAUGGUUAGCUGGUCUGAGAGGAUGAUCAGCCACACUGGAACUGGAACACGGUCCAG
This 324-nucleotide ribosomal RNA is filed under the name uncultured Desulfobacter sp. RNAcentral's name for it is "bacterial SSU rRNA". It matches the Rfam family "Bacterial small subunit ribosomal RNA", at positions 29 to 334 of the family's 1533-position model. Lineage: Bacteria; Pseudomonadati; Thermodesulfobacteriota; Desulfobacteria; Desulfobacterales; Desulfobacteraceae. The record is from RNAcentral.